GUUACUUCAUAACUGAUCUUGGGAUGAUCUUUUGGUUUUAUCCUGCACUUGGUGGAAUGGAGUAUGUGAUACAUCAUCUCCUUUCUCUCUUAGCUGUGGCCUAUGCUAUGUUGACUGGUGAGGGGCAGCUUUACACUUACAUGGUUCUCAUCUCUGAGACGACCACCCCCGGGAUCAAUUUGAGAUGGUACCUUGACACAGC
This 202-nucleotide unclassified non-coding RNA is filed under the name Hevea brasiliensis (rubber tree). The record is from RNAcentral. Lineage: Eukaryota; Viridiplantae; Streptophyta; Magnoliopsida; Malpighiales; Euphorbiaceae.